GAUGAGGAUGAGUGCUUGUAACUGACU
This 27-nucleotide non-coding RNA is filed under the name Cricetulus griseus (Chinese hamster). The record is from RNAcentral. Lineage: Eukaryota; Metazoa; Chordata; Mammalia; Rodentia; Cricetidae.